Molecule: ribosomal RNA, 465 nt
Filed under: uncultured bacterium
Lineage: Bacteria
Description: partial 16S ribosomal RNA
Rfam family: Bacterial small subunit ribosomal RNA
Source: RNAcentral
CCUACGGGAGGCAGCAGUAGGGAAUCUUCCACAAUGGGCGAAAGCCUGAUGGAGCAACGCCGCGUGGGUGAAGAAGGUCUUCGGAUCGUAAAACCCUGUUGUUAGAGAAGAAAGUGCGUGAGAGUAACUGUUCACGUUUCGACGGUAUCUAACCAGAAAGCCACGGCUAACUACGUGCCAGCAGCCGCGGUAAUACGUAGGUGGCAAGCGUUAUCCGGUUUUAUGGGGCGGAAAGGGAACGCAGGCGUUCUUUUAAGUCUGAUGUGAAAGCCUUCGGCUUAACCGGAGUAGUGCAUUGGAAACUGGGAGACUUGAGUGCAGAAGAGGAGGGUGGAACUCGAGGUGUAGCGGUGAAAUGCGUAGAUAUAUGGAAGAACACCAGUGGCGAAGGCGGCUCUCUGGUCUGUAACUGACGCUGAGGUUCGAAAGCGUGGGUAGCAAACAGGAUUAGAUACCCGAGUAGUC